RNAcentral lists this ribosomal RNA (372 nucleotides) under uncultured organism. RNAcentral's name for it is "bacterial SSU rRNA". It matches the Rfam family "Bacterial small subunit ribosomal RNA", at positions 526 to 896 of the family's 1533-position model. The record is from RNAcentral.
CAGAGGGGGCAAGCGUUGUUCGGAAUUACUGGGCGUAAAGGGCGCGUAGGCGGCCUCUUAAGUCGAACGUGAAAUCCCCGGGCUCAACCCGGGAACUGCGUCCGAUACUGGGAGGCUUGAAUCCGGGAGAGGGAUGUGGAAUUCCAGGUGUAGCGGUGAAAUGCGUAGAUAUCUGGAGGAACACCGGUGGCGAAGGCGGCAUCCUGGACCGGCAUUGACGCUGAGGCGCGAAAGCUAGGGGAGCAAACGGGAUUAGAUACCCCGGUAGUCCUAGCCCUAAACGAUGAAUGCUUGGUGUGGCGGGUAUCGAUCCCUGCCGUGCCGAAGCUAACGCAUUAAGCAUUCCGCCUGGGGAGUACGGUCGCAAGGCUG